RNAcentral lists this ribosomal RNA (1017 nucleotides) under marine metagenome. RNAcentral's name for it is "bacterial LSU rRNA". It matches the Rfam family "Bacterial large subunit ribosomal RNA", at positions 1274 to 2305 of the family's 2925-position model. The record is from RNAcentral.
UGGAGGUAUCAGAAGUGCGAAUGCUGACAUGAGUAACGACAAGAACGGUGAAAAACCGUUCCGCCGUAAGCCCAAGGGUUCCAGCGCAACGAUAUUCGGCGCUGGGUGAGUCGGAUCCUAAGGCGAGGCCGAGAGGCGUAGUCGAUGGAAAACGGGUUAAUAUUCCCGUACUUGCGAUUGCUGCGAUGGGGUGACGGAGAAAGUUAGGGUGGCUUCCUGUUGGAUGGGAGUUCAAGCGUUUAGGCAGGUCUCUUAGGCAAAUCCGGGAGAUCAAUGCUGAGGCGUGACGUCGAGGCUCAAUUGAGCCGGAGCACCUGAUACUCAGCUUCCAAGAAAAGCCUCUAAGCUUCAGGCAGUCGUGAUCCGUACCCCAAACCGACACAGGUGGGCGAGGAGAGUAUCCUAAGGCGUUUGAGACAACUCGGAUGAAGGAACUCGGCAAAUUGGUGCCGUAACUUCGGGAGAAGGCACGCCCACGCAAGUGGGCCGCAGUGAAGAGGGAGUGGCAACUGUUUAUCAAAAACACAGGACUCUGCAAACACGAAAGUGGACGUAUAGGGUCUGACACCUGCCCGGUGCUGGAAGGUUAAUUGAUGGGGUCAACCGCAAGGUGAAGCUCUUGAUCGAAGCCCCAGUAAACGGCGGCCGUAACUAUAACGGUCCUAAGGUAGCGAAAUUCCUUGUCGGGUAAGUUCCGACCUGCACGAAUGGUGUAAUGAUCGCUCCACUGUCUCCAUCCGAGGCUCAGUGAAAUUGAAAUCGCCGUGACGAUGCGGUGUUCCCGCGGCAAGACGGAAAGACCCCGUGAACCUUUACUACAACUUUGCACUGGAAUUUGAGUUUGUUUGUGUAGGAUAGGUGGGAGCCUUUGAAGCCCAGGCGCUAGCUUGAGUGGAGGCAACCUUGAAAUACCACCCUGAUAAACUUGAAUUUCUAACCUAGGCCCGUUAUCCGGGUCAGGGACAUUGCAUGGCGGGUAGUUUGACUGGGGCGGUCUCCUCCCAAAGAGUAACGGAG